This 263-nucleotide unclassified non-coding RNA is filed under the name plant metagenome. RNAcentral describes it as "partial contains small subunit ribosomal RNA, internal transcribed spacer 1, and 5.8S ribosomal RNA". The record is from RNAcentral.
UUUCCGUAGGUGAACCUGCGGAAGGAUCAUUAUUGUAUAACCGAGAUGCGAGGGCUGUCGCUGACCCAAAAGGUCGUGCACGCCCGAGUGCCCUCACACACAUCCAUCUCACCCCUAUGUGCACCACCGCGUGGGUCCCCCUUUGGCUUGUUCGGAGGGGGGCUUACGUUUUCACACAAACUUUGUAUGCAGUGUAGAAUGUAUUUUUUGUUUUUGCGAUCACGCAAUCAAUACAACUUUCAACAACGGAUCUCUUGGCUCUC